AAAUUUAAAAUGCCUAAUCCCGGAAAAGCGGGAACGGGGGACCCACCAGAGGGGUGAAUCCCCGCCCUCAGUAAGCUUUAUUACUUUGGGGUACCAAAGCUAUUCAAAGUAUGAAAACUGAGGGCGGGGUAGGGCUUUUCUCCGGCCCGAACCCGGCAGCUAACCCCGUCGGCAGGAAAGGAGAUGGUAC
This 190-nucleotide small RNA is filed under the name Neomoorella thermoacetica. RNAcentral describes it as "Moorella thermoacetica c-di-AMP sequence". It matches the Rfam family "c-di-AMP riboswitch aptamer (ydaO/yuaA leader)". Rfam says of the family: This family represents a conserved RNA structure found upstream of the ydaO and yuaA genes in Bacillus subtilis and related genes in other bacteria. The record is from RNAcentral. Lineage: Bacteria; Bacillati; Bacillota; Clostridia; Neomoorellales; Neomoorellaceae.